CCCCUGACUCUGGGAUAAGCCCGGGAAACUGGGUCUAAUACCGGAUAUGACCGCCCCCGGCAUCGGGUGGUGGUGGAAAGUUUUUCGGUCGGGGAUGGGCUCGCGGCCUAUCAGCUUGUUGGUGGGGUAGUGGCCUACCAAGGCGACGACGGGUAGCCGGCCUGAGAGGGCGACCGGCCACACUGGGACUGAGACACGGCCCAGACUCCUACGGGAGGCAGCAGUGGGGAAUAUUGCGCAAUGGGCGAAAGCCUGACGCAGCGACGCCGCGUGGGGGAUGACGGCCUUCGGGUUGUAAACCUCUUUCAGCAGGGACGAAGUUGACGUGUACCUGCAGAAGAAGCGCCGGCUAACUACGUGCCAGCAGCCGCGGUAAUACGUAGGGCGCAAGCGUUGUCCGGAAUUAUUGGGCGUAAAGAGCUCGUAGGUGGCUUGUCGCGUCGGAUGUGAAAGCCCGCAGCUUAACUGCGGGUCUGCAUUUGAUACGGGCAGGCUAGAGGUAGGUAGGGGAGAACGGAAUUCCUGGUGUAGCGGUG
Molecule: ribosomal RNA, 536 nt
Filed under: Nonomuraea sp. SAUK6037
Lineage: Bacteria; Bacillati; Actinomycetota; Actinomycetes; Streptosporangiales; Streptosporangiaceae
Description: bacterial SSU rRNA
Rfam family: Bacterial small subunit ribosomal RNA
Source: RNAcentral